GUUCAUCUACUAUUUCAUAUAUCUCCGCGAGAAUCUUGUUGUUGCUCAAGAUGUCAGCCUCCAAUUCAAAAGUCCUGGCCAUCAGCUUGUCGAUGAGGGUGUACAUCUCUUGCUGGAAUAUCUCUAGCUUCUCCCUUAAAGGCAUCUCCUCCUCUUCGGAGGCUGCCUCUUCCCCAUUAUCGCCUCUUGGAUCUCUGGAUGCCAUUUUACAAUAAUUUGA
Molecule: long non-coding RNA, 220 nt
Filed under: Theobroma cacao (cacao)
Lineage: Eukaryota; Viridiplantae; Streptophyta; Magnoliopsida; Malvales; Malvaceae
Description: long non-coding RNA (TCAC_LNC002648)
Source: RNAcentral